GAUGAACGCUGGCGGCGUGCUUAACACAUGCAAGUCGAACGGAAAGGCUCCUGCUUGCUGGGGUACUCGAGUGGCGAACGGGUGAGUAACACGUGGGUGAUCUGCCCUGCACUUCGGGAUAAGCCUGGGAAACUGGGGCUAAUACCGGAUAGGACCUCAUGUUGGAUGGUGUGGUGGGAAGUUUUUCGGUGUGGGAUGAGCUCGCGGCCUAUCAGCUUGUUGGUGGGGUAAUGGCCUACCAAGGCGUCGACGGGUAGCCGGCCUGAGAGGGUGUACGGCCACAUUGGGACUGAGAUACGGCCCAGACUCCUACGGGAGGCAGCAGUGGGGAAUAUUGCACAAUGGGCGGAAGCCUGAUGCAGCGACGCCGCGUGCGGGAUGACGGCCUUCGGGUUGUAAACCGCUUUCGCUAGGGACGAAGCGCAAGUGACGGUACCUGGAGAAGAAGCACCGGCUAACUACGUG
This 465-nucleotide ribosomal RNA is filed under the name uncultured bacterium. RNAcentral describes it as "partial 16S ribosomal RNA". It matches the Rfam family "Bacterial small subunit ribosomal RNA", at positions 28 to 507 of the family's 1533-position model. The record is from RNAcentral.